This is a long non-coding RNA of Mauremys reevesii (Reeves's turtle), 529 nucleotides long. RefSeq lists it as uncharacterized. The record is from RefSeq and is a predicted model, not a curated record. Lineage: Eukaryota; Metazoa; Chordata; Testudines; Geoemydidae. The transcript is spliced from 3 exons.
CCUCUGCGCAUGUGCGGGGAGCGUUUCGGUUGGUGGGGAGAAGCUGCUGGGUUUCCCAAGCAGCACUGAGGAUCAGAAAUUGGUGGAUUUCUCUGCAGUCCAGGGGAGACUUAGGAGGAGCCUCAUAGUGAGAAUGAAUGUGUGUGUGGCAUUGCUGUCUGCAUCCACUGCACCUUGGGCUCUGGCACUCACUUUUACCAGACAGCCAAAGAAACUUCUGACUGUUGCUAAUAGGAAUCCGGCAUUCUUGACAGCAGAGAAUAACUUGGUUGCAUUGUAUUCAAGGAGCAACCGGAAGCUGGAGAUGAGCAAAGCUGCGAUAGAGGAGGCCACACAUCUGAACAGCUCCAUGGCAAUACUGAGUACCAUGAUGGUCAUCAAAAGCACAGAGGGUGUGUGAUCAAUUUAUAUUUGUGUGAUUUGAUAGUAUCACCAUCAAGGAAUGUACUGCUGACCACACUACAAGGAACUCGGAGAGGGAAUUUACCUCAGCUAUUGUCUGUGAUUAAUCUGGAACAUUGAUUCCAAA